RNAcentral lists this ribosomal RNA (1056 nucleotides) under Pseudarthrobacter oxydans. Its description in RNAcentral is "bacterial SSU rRNA". It matches the Rfam family "Bacterial small subunit ribosomal RNA", at positions 257 to 1320 of the family's 1533-position model. The record is from RNAcentral. Lineage: Bacteria; Bacillati; Actinomycetota; Actinomycetes; Micrococcales; Micrococcaceae.
GUAAUGGCUCACCAAGGCGACGACGGGUAGCCGGCCUGAGAGGGUGACCGGCCACACUGGGACUGAGACACGGCCCAGACUCCUACGGGAGGCAGCAGUGGGGAAUAUUGCACAAUGGGCGAAAGCCUGAUGCAGCGACGCCGCGUGAGGGAUGACGGCCUUCGGGUUGUAAACCUCUUUCAGUAGGGAAGAAGCGAAAGUGACGGUACCUGCAGAAGAAGCGCCGGCUAACUACGUGCCAGCAGCCGCGGUAAUACGUAGGGCGCAAGCGUUAUCCGGAAUUAUUGGGCGUAAAGAGCUCGUAGGCGGUUUGUCGCGUCUGCCGUGAAAGUCCGGGGCAUCAACUCCGGAUCUGCGGUGGGUACGGGCAGACUAGAGUGAUGUAGGGGAGACUGGAAUUCCUGGUGUAGCGGUGAAAUGCGCAGAUAUCAGGAGGAACACCGAUGGCGAAGGCAGGUUCUCUGGGCAUUAACUGACGCUGUAGGAGCGAAAGCAUGGGGAGCGAACAGGAUUAGAUACCCUGGUAGUCCAUGCCGUAAACGUUGGGCACUAGGUGUGGGGGACAUUCCACGUUUUCCGCGCCGUAGCUAACGCAUUAAGUGCUCCCGCCUGGGGAGUACGGCCGCAAGGCUAAAACUCAAAGGAAUUGACGGGGGCCCGCACAAGCGGCGGAGCAUGCGGAUUAAUUCGAUGCAACGCGAAGAACCUUACCAAGGCUUGACAUGAACCGGAAACACCUGGAAACAGGUGCCCCGCUUGCGGUCGGUUUACAGGUGGUGCAUGGUUGUCGUCAGCUCGUGUCGUGAGAUGUUGGGUUAAGUCCCGCAACGAGCGCAACCCUCGUUCUAUGUUGCCAGCGCGUGAUGGCGGGGACUCAUAGGAGACUGCCGGGGUCAACUCGGAGGAAGGUGGGGACGACGUCAAAUCAUCAUGCCCCUGAUGUCUUGGGCUUCACGCAUGCUACAAUGGCCGGUACAAAGGGUUGCGAUACUGUGAGGUGGAGCUAAUCCCAAAAAGCCGGUCUCAGUUCGGAUUGGGGUCUGCAACUCGACCCCA